RNAcentral lists this unclassified non-coding RNA (200 nucleotides) under Inocybe sp. RNAcentral describes it as "partial internal transcribed spacer 2". The record is from RNAcentral. Lineage: Eukaryota; Fungi; Basidiomycota; Agaricomycetes; Agaricales; Inocybaceae.
UUAAGUUCAGCGGGUAGUCCUACCUGAUUUGAGGUCAAAUUCAUUGAAAUUUUGUUGAGCACAGUUAGAAGCAGUGCAAUCUGUUCAUGCAGAAUACCAAAAGGCAUAGAUAAUUUAUCACACCUAAUAGCAGCAGUUCUGCUCAGAUACUGCUAAUGCAUUUCAGGGGAGCAGAGCCUUUCUGAAAAAAAGCCUGCAAA